Molecule: long non-coding RNA, 1326 nt
Filed under: Monodelphis domestica (gray short-tailed opossum)
Lineage: Eukaryota; Metazoa; Chordata; Mammalia; Didelphimorphia; Didelphidae
Description: lncRNA (ENSMODG00000033665.2)
Source: RNAcentral
GAAGGUGAGCUUCUGGAGAUUAGGGACACUCUUCCUUCUCUACUUGGAUCCCAACCUUUAGCACAUUGCUCUCCCACAGCAACCCGGGGACAGCUUCCUUGUUCAGAGUCUGCACCCGCUCUGGAUUUCAAUCAGCUAGGUCCACGGAAGAGCAGUCCCUGGGGACCCCCAGGCAGAGACACCCCCCUUGAGUCAUCAGCCCCCAGGGACCUUUCCUUCCAGGUCACCGUCUUGAAUGAGGUCAGGCUCCAAAUGAGGCUCUGGGGGGCCCCUAAUUCAGGGCAGGGGCGCCGUCAGAUCUCUGAGCAUCAGGCCUGGCCCAAACGGAGAGGCAAAAGAGGGACCGCAGAGCGGCUCCGGGAGAAGAUCUGGUCCAACAAACGCGGUCAAAGCGAAUGGAAUUCUAUCAUUUCAUAAGGCAGGGCCUCCUGAGUGUCAUGGCAUCCAGCCAUCUCAGGUCACAAAUGGACAAAACAGGGGCCAGAGAAGAGAGCAGACUAUUCAGGGUCACCCCAGGGUGCUAGUAAGUGGAAGAUCCAGGAGUCGGCCCAACCGUCCAGGAUGCCCCAUGUUCUAAGCUUUCACUCAGACCGGUCACCCGUGUUGUGAGAUGCCUGUCAGAUCUGACACCCCCUGCUCUAAGGCCCUUCCUAACUCUGGCACCCCCUUUUCUAAGGCCCCUUCUAGCCCUGUCACCCCUGUUCUAAGAUCCCUCUCAGAUCUGACACUCCCUGCUCUAAGGCCCCUCCUAACCCUGACACCCCCUUUUCUAAGGCCCCUUCUAGCCCUGUCACCCCUGUUCUAAGACCCCUCUCAGAUCUGACACCCCCUGCUCUAAGGCCCCUCCUAACCCUGACACCCCCUUUUCUAAGGCCCCUUCUAGCCCUGUCACCCCUGUUCUAAGAUCCCUCUCAGAUCUGACCCCCCCUGCUCUAAGGCCCUUCCUAACUCUGACACCCCCUGUUCUAAGCCUCCCUUCAGCCCUGUCACCCCCUUUUCCAAGUUCUCUCCUAGCCCUGACAUUCUCUGUUCUAAAGUUCCUUCCUAGUUCUGAUACCUCCUGUCCUAAGACCCCUCUCAGAUCUGACACCCCCUGCUCUAAGGCCCCUCCUAACCCCGACACCCCCUUUUCUAAGGCCCCUUCUAGCCCUGACAUUCUCUGUUCUAAGGUUCCUUCCCAGUUCUGACACCCCCUUUUCUAAGGUCUCUCCUAGCCCUGACACCUCCUUUUUCUUUUUUUGUUUCCUUUUAAUCCAAUGUAUUUAGUUUUAUACAACUGAAAGAAAUUACUAUCUGAAAAGAUUUAUAUGGUGCACCAGAUGCCAA